This is a non-coding RNA of Acanthosepion pharaonis, 108 nucleotides long. The record is from the annotation of a GenBank genome assembly. Lineage: Eukaryota; Metazoa; Mollusca; Cephalopoda; Sepiida; Sepiidae.
UUACGGCCUUAUCACGUUGAAAUGCUGGUUUCCUUACGAUCACUGAAGUUAAGUAACGUCGAGCCUAGUCAGAACCCUGAUGGGUGACCGCUUGGGAAUACCAGGUGA